This is a long non-coding RNA of Pyrus x bretschneideri (Chinese white pear), 531 nucleotides long. RefSeq lists it as uncharacterized. Lineage: Eukaryota; Viridiplantae; Streptophyta; Magnoliopsida; Rosales; Rosaceae. The record is from RefSeq and is a predicted model, not a curated record. The transcript is spliced from 2 exons.
UGAUGGAUUUUCGAAUGAAAUGCACUCAACCCUAAAUUCCAGUGGGGGUGGCUGAAGCAGUUGCCGGAUAUGACUUAUGGCAGCCAAGUUUGGGAGUCAAAAUGACCACACUACCCCGUCAAGGGUUCAGAUCUUGCCGUCAGGUGAUAUGAGAGAGGGGGUUUGAUUGCCCAAUUGGUUGUUUCAUCAAUUAAUUGUGUGCAAACAUUUAUGUGUAAUUUUUUACUUCUUCCACUUAAAUGGUAAGAUCAAAUUAAGCUAAGAACUUUGGGUUUUGUAAAUGUUGUGUAAUUUAAUUAUUCAUAGUAUCAAUUAAUUUUGAGCAAACAUUUCUGGGUAGUUGUUAAUUUCCCUCAAUAUUUGAUAAUAAUUAAAUUAAAGCUGAGAACUUUGUAUUUUGUUCAUUACCUGCCGUAGAUUUUACUUGACAGAGAAAAUGUAUUUUCCUUGAUAUUAUUCAUGUUUUGUUUUCUUUAAGAUCGCAUUGUAAUGGGUCUCUUUGGAAAAACAAUUCUUAAGACCAAUUGUGAG